GUCCUUGCCGUAAACGAUGUAGAUUAGGUGUUGGGAGUAUCGAUCCUCUCAGUGCCGACGUUAACACAUUAAAUCUACCACCUGGGGAGUACGGUCGCAAGACUGAAACUCAAAGGAAUUGACGGGGACCCGCACAAGCGGUGGAGCAUGUGGUUUAAUUCGAGGCUACGCGAAGAACCUUACCUAGGCUUGACAUGAUAGCAGUAGUCCUGAUGAAAGUCGGGGCGACCGUAUCCAAUCGGAGGCUAACACAGGUGCUGCAUGGCUGUCGU
This 272-nucleotide ribosomal RNA is filed under the name uncultured bacterium. RNAcentral describes it as "partial 16S ribosomal RNA". It matches the Rfam family "Bacterial small subunit ribosomal RNA", at positions 793 to 1055 of the family's 1533-position model. The record is from RNAcentral.